RNAcentral lists this ribosomal RNA (497 nucleotides) under uncultured bacterium. Its description in RNAcentral is "partial 16S ribosomal RNA". It matches the Rfam family "Bacterial small subunit ribosomal RNA", at positions 28 to 507 of the family's 1533-position model. The record is from RNAcentral.
GAUGAACGCUGGCGGCGUCCCUAAUACAUGCAAGUCGAGCGAACAGACGAGGAGCUUGCUCCUCUGACGUUAGCGGCGGACGUGUGAGUAACACGUGGAUAACCUACCUAUAAGACUGGGAUAACUUCGGGAAACCGGAGCUAAUACCGGAUAAUAUAUUGAACCGCAUGGUUCAAUAGCGAAAGACGGUUUUGCUGUCACUUAUAGAUGGAUCCGCGCCGCAUUAGCUAGUUGGUAAGGUAACGGCUUACCAAGGCGACGAUGCGUAGCCGACCUGAGAGGGUGAUCGGCCACACUGGAGCUGAGACACGGUCCAGACUCCUACGGGAGGCAGCAGUAGGGAAUCUUCCGCAAUGGGCGAAAGCCUGACGGAGCAGCGCCGCGUGAGUGAUGAAGGUCUUCGGAUCGUAAAACUGUGUUAUUAGGGAAGAACAAAUGUGUAAGUAACUAUGCACGUCUUGACGGUACCUGAUCAGAAAGCCACGGCUAACUACGUG